CUUUACUUUGGAGUAAUCCCAAGUGAGGAGACUGGCAAGACUUUUGAGCAUACUAUUCCUAUUCCUAUUCCUAUUCCUAUUCCUAGUAGAAAAAAGCAGGCGAUGAAUGAAUAGAGAAUCUCGCAGAUGAAGUAAACGAGGAGGAGACAAAUAUCUGUCUCUCUCUCUCUCUCUCUCUCUCUCUCUCUCCGGAUAGAGAGAAAACUCCACCCACCAGGCGCCAGUCCUCCGCAAGCAAACAGAAUCCUCUUCAGUGUGUGUGUGAAUACGUGUACGCUCAGAUUUCAACUGACAUCUGGGCCUUUGCGAUUCCAAUUUCCACUUCAGAGGUUUCUAUUUUCUACGGAGUUUCCUGGGUUUUGAAUUACAAGGUAACCCCAGAGAAGAUUUGCUAAUUUUUCCGAGUUUGGUUUUGUUUUAUUUGGAUUUCUUUGGUUGCAUGUCAAUUAAUUUAUGCAGAUAUUUUCCAUGUUUCGUUUGCUUUCCUUUUUCCAAGGAGAGUACUUAUGUGAAUCUAUCAGGUUAAAGCCGUCAUGGUCUGCAAAUUGUAAUUCAUUUGUCAAUUAAACCUAUGGAAUCUUCUGGGCCUAGCCAAAAAAUUGAUCUUUUUGUUGAUUCUUUUUGUUGAUUCUUGUGAAGUGACUUCUUCACAAGAACGAAAACUUGGCCAUUUGGAGGAAAAGAAUCAUAUUUGUUUUUCAAAUUUCAUUUUCUUCUGAAACACAACUGAUUUUUAGGAUACAAUUAUUAAGCAUUUGAACCAAAACUUUGCUUAGAACUCAAAUCCAAGUAAAAGAAAAAAAGAAAAGGUACCUUCAUCAAUAAAAGAGUCAGCUUCCUUAGGCUUAGAUAGAGAACAAGAAUACAUUUUAUUUUUCUUGCUUUUUCUGAUUUUAUUUCUAAUUUAGAAAAUAAAUUUCAUGAUAUGGGUUUCAAAAUUUGAGGUUACACAGAGUUUGGAAGGUAAUAUGGAAGACAAUCUAUUUUCUGGAAUUGGCAGUGAGGCACAAUUUGAAGGCAAAGUUGUUCAGACAUUUCAGAAAAACUUUGUGCAAGUUCAAAAAAUUUUGGAUCAAAACAAGCUGUUAAUCAACAAGAUUACCCAGAACCACGAGUCCAAGAUCCCGGAUAAUUUGACUCGAAAUGUGGGUUUAAUUCGAGAGCUCAACAACAAUUUUAGAAGGGUGGUCGAUCUCUACGUGGGUCUUUCCAACUCUUUCCCCAAAUCCAUGGAAGAGGGCUCGUCCGAGGCCGAUUCAAUUAAGUCUGGCGGAAGAGUUGGACAGAAGAGAAUUAGGUCCAACAAUUGACGGAAAUUCGAAUUUAGAUUUGUACUGAAUUUUACAAUUGUUCUUAACGACGAAGAAUAGUCUAUACCAGCAUUUUAUGUUGUCAAAUCUGUCUUUGUCAAAUCUUACUGUUUAUAGCCUAUAGGUGCUAAAGAUUUUCGUAAGGCCCGGUUUCUCGCAUACGUUUCUAUUUCUCAGAUCUGCUUUUCUGUUUACUUAGAGAAGGCAAUGUCACGAGCUUGGAAAAAAUGUUGAAAAUAAGAGUUGAAAUGAUGUUACUGCACAUUACGCAAAUCAAGAUUGAGAAAAGAAAAUAAUUAUUCUUCAAUGAUCUCAAUAACAGACAACU
RNAcentral lists this long non-coding RNA (1638 nucleotides) under Olea europaea subsp. europaea. The record is from RNAcentral. Lineage: Eukaryota; Viridiplantae; Streptophyta; Magnoliopsida; Lamiales; Oleaceae.